GUAAGACGGCGCUAUUCCGCUGUAACAGCUUCCGGCGGGUCCUGGAUGUUGAUGUCCUGCAUCUAACGCGGUGUAACCCCCGAAGCCGAGCGAGCUCCGGAGGAAUUUCAGUAUCUGCUACGGUAACUUCAUCAGCCCGCCAAGAUGGCGAUGCAAGCGGCCAAGAGGGCGAACAUUCGACUUCCACCUGAAGUAAAUCGGAUAUUGUAUAUAAGAAAUUUGCCAUACAAAAUCACAGCUGAAGAAAUGUAUGAUAUAUUUGGGAAAUAUGGACCUAUUCGUCAAAUCAGAGUGUGAGUCUUACUGAGUCAUUUAAAGAAAAUGAUAGCAUAAUCUGUAAUUUCAGAAUUAUAGCUGACGAUGAGGCCACCCUGUGCUGUGUGCAGUGCGACAACCCUUACCAAGAGCCUUGAGACUAGCAGAUUGAGAUCAGAGAGAUGAGAUCUUUUUGAAGGGGGGAGAAAACCUACUGAGACCCUAAUGAUCCAGCUCAAUGAGAGCCAAGAAGAGGAUUUGAGUUUCCUCAAAGCAUUCAUUGAAGUAGUAAUGAAUGCUUUGAGGAAACUGGUUGAGAAGGGAAAGAACUAACAUUUAUUGCAUACCUGUUAUUUGUAAAGCUAGCUUGUUACACUGUGUUUUUUGUAUGCAGCAGCUCUAUAAUUUUCUCAACAAUCAUCACUGUCUCUUUAAAUAACCCCAGAAUUUCUGAAUAAACUAAGU
Molecule: long non-coding RNA, 720 nt
Filed under: Homo sapiens (human)
Lineage: Eukaryota; Metazoa; Chordata; Mammalia; Primates; Hominidae
Description: non-protein coding lnc-TP53I3-2:1
Source: RNAcentral